This is a long non-coding RNA of Salvia miltiorrhiza (redroot sage), 295 nucleotides long. RefSeq lists it as uncharacterized. The record is from RefSeq and is a predicted model, not a curated record. The transcript is spliced from 2 exons. Lineage: Eukaryota; Viridiplantae; Streptophyta; Magnoliopsida; Lamiales; Lamiaceae.
AAGGACAAGCGCGAGAGUAAGAACUAUUCAAGGAGUCACAGUACCUUAGCAAAAUUUUGCUAUCAGGUUGAGUUGUGAUGGGCGAUGAAGUGUUGCUGAGUGGAGUUUUUGUUGAACUUAAAGUAGGCUCAGAAAGGAUACAUGUCUUCAUACAUGUAUCUCAGUUAUGCAUUCCGCUGUAAACACUGAUUAUUUCAGUUACACCUUCCGUUGCAAACUCUGAUAAUGUUUUAGCCAAGCCCAUAACGAUGCCUUUUUCCUUUUAAGGAAUAUAACGCGUAUACAAGUUCUUUGA